GUCAUUGAGGUUUUCUAUUAGUGUUUUGAGCGAUGAGUUUAGGGGUUCUCUAUCAUGAAGAACUACAGAAGUAUUUCUGAAGACUGAUUCAAGUACUACAACAAAUAAAACAGGUGAGUUUAAAGACAAAUACAAUAGUUUCUUUACUAAUAUAAGAUUCAUGUUCUUAUUCCUGCAUAGAAUGAAUCUUGAAGGAUAGUUUGAAUUUGGGGUUUUCCAUCUCUGAUCCAACUAAAGAUCAAUUUUAAACACUGGAGUUUUUUUGUCCAUUUUCCAAGUGUUUUUAGCGUAUGUAUUUUUCCAUCAAGAAGAAUUGGACGAGGAUUUUUGACGAUGAAUUCAAGUGCUGUUCCAGAUCAACAGAGAAGUAAGUUUAUAAUAACAUAGUUAACAAAAAAACAGGUAAGUCACAUUUUCACAAUUAUUUCUAUAAUUUCUUUAUAUAUAUGAUGAUAAAUCGGGUUUCAGGGGAUUCUGUUUUUGUGCAUUUUCUGAUGCUUUUCAUUGAAUCUCUAAGUUAUGGGAUUCAGCACUUGUGUUAUCUUUUGUUUCCAUUAAAUAUUGUUCUUUGUUAGUUCAUCAGGAUGCAUCUUGUAAGAAAUUUUCUGGGUUGAAUUCAUGGUCAAUUUUGGGUUUCGCUAUGAUUAUUUCUGUGAAAUCUAUGUGAGUUUCGGCUGGAUCUUUAAUGGUUGUGUUUGGUGUUUCUUUUCGUUCAAUGUAUGGCUAUUUCAGCAAUUGUAUACCUAGAGUGAUAAUGUUCUUUGUUGUUUAUGUAAUUCCUUUGUCUUUAUAAUUGAGAUCUUUUUUGGUGCGUUUGGAUGGGUCUUGAAGCAUUUACCCUUUUGGACUGAUAAUCAAUCUUGGAUUAUACUGUAUUUGUUUUGUUCUUUGAAUUUUAUAUUCGCUGAAUCUUUCAUGAAAUUUGUAUUUGAUUUGAAUAUUGAUUAGUUUUGGGUUCACUUUUCGUUUUAUGUGUGGUUACUUCAGCAAUUGUGUUCUAACUUCUAAGUAUGUCAUGUUCUCUUUGUUUCUUUAAUUUUUACAUUUUUGGUGCAUUGUCUUGAAUCUUGAUUGAUAUUCCAUGGGUUCAAUUUUUUGUUUGUUAGAUUUAUUUAUGUGAAUUCUCCAUGCAUUUUAGGUGCAUCUAAAGAAUUUGUGCUUUUUGUGUUUGGAUUGAAUAAGUAUAACUAGUAAGUUGCGGGUAUUCUUUUUAUUUUUUGUAUGCAUAUUUCAACAGUUUUUUUUUCCUUCCUGUGAUAAUGUUCUCUUCAUUAAGUAAUUUGUGUGUCGUUAUGAUCAAGUUAUUUUUGGUACAUUUGGGUGAAUAUUGAAGGAUCUUUGUGGAUCUUGUUCUUUAGAUGAUGAUCAAUCUUGGAUUUCAAUGGAUUUGUUUCUGUGAAUUCUUCGUAGGUUGAAUUUUUAACGUACUUUGUGCUUUUAUUUUUGGUUUAUACCCUUUUUCUUUCUACAUCUGGUUAUUUUGAAAAUUAUAUGUUCUCACUACAAUGUUCUCUUUGUUUCUAUAAUUUCAGUGUUCUUAUAAUAUUCUUUGAUGUUGCAUUUGGAUGAAUUUUAAAGGAUCUUUUUCGGAUUUUGUUCUUUGGAGCGAUGAUCAAUAUUGGGUUUCAUUGGAUUUCUUUAUGUGAAUUUUAUGUGAGUUGAAAUUUCAAUGUAAUAUGUUCUUUUGUGUUAUGUUUGUUAUGGAUCCUUUUUGAGAAGAGGAAGAACUUGUUUCCACUCUCAGGUGAAGAAGGUAUGAAACGAUGGGACCAAUUAGGUUUGAACUUGUUUUGCUCUUUACGUUCAUUUUAAAGAUGUGAUGUAAAAGCAUCAUUUUAUUAAUGCUUGCUUACGUUGUUAAUCAAAUUAAUUAGGAAGAGAGUGGUACAGAGAGAGAUUCAGAUUUUCGUGUGAUGAUACCUUCUCAUCCUUCUUAAUUUUUCUAUAUUCUUGUACAAAUUGAAUUUGAGUUAGCUUAUAGCAAGUUUCCAUUAAAUAUUGUUCUUUGUUAGUUCAUCAGGAUGCAUCUUGUAAGAAAUUUUCUGGGUUGAAUUCAUGGUCAAUUUUGGGUUUCGCUAUGAUUAUUUCUGUGAAAUCUAUGUGAGUUUCGGCUGGAUCUUUAAUGGUUGUGUUUGGUGUUUCUUUUCGUUCAAUGUAUGGCUAUUUCAGCAAUUGUAUACCUAGAGUGAUAAUGUUCUUUGUUGUUUAUGUAAUUCCUUUGUCUUUAUAAUUGAGAUCUUUUUUGGUGCAUUUGGAUGGGUCUUGAAGCAUUUACCCUUUUGGACUGAUAAUCAAUCUUGGAUUAUACUGUAUUUGUUUUGUUCUUUGAAUUUUAUAUUCGCUGAAUCUUUCAUGAAAUUUGUAUUUGAUUUGAAUAUUGAUUAGUUUUGGGUUCACUUUUCGUUUUAUGUGUGGUUACUUCAGCAAUUGUGUUCUAACUUCUAAGUAUGUCAUGUUCUCUUUGUUUCUUUAAUUUUUACAUUUUUGGUGCAUUGUCUUGAAUCUUGAUUGAUAUUCCAUGGGUUCAAUUUUCUGUUUGUUAGAUUUAUUUAUGUGAAUUCUCCAUGCAUUUUCGGUGCAUCUAAAGAAUUUGUGCUUUUUGUGUUUUCUCCAUGCAUUUUAGGUGCAUCUAAAGAAUUUGUGCUUUUUGUGUUUGGAUUGAAUAAGUAUAACUAGUAAGUUGCGGGUAUUCUUUUUAUUUUUUGUAUGCAUAUUUCAACAGUUUUUUUU
This 2730-nucleotide long non-coding RNA is filed under the name Olea europaea (common olive). Its description in RNAcentral is "long non-coding RNA (OEUR_LNC009362)". The record is from RNAcentral. Lineage: Eukaryota; Viridiplantae; Streptophyta; Magnoliopsida; Lamiales; Oleaceae.